UUGAACGCUGGCGGCAUGCUUUACCCCUGCCAGUCGAACGGUAACAGGCCGCAAGGUGCUGACGAGUGGCGAACGGGUGAGUAAUGCAUCGGAACGUGCCCAGUCGUGGGGGAUAACUACUCGAAAGAGUAGCUAAUACCGCAUACGAUCUAUGGAUGAAAGCGGGGGACCGUAAGGCCUCACGCGAUUGGAGCGGCCGAUGUCAGAUUAGGUAGUUGGUGGGGUAAAGGCUCACCAAGCCAACGAUCUGUAGCUGGUCUGAGAGGACGACCAGCCACACUGGGACUGAGACACGGCCCAGACUCCUACGGGAGGCAGCAGUGGGGAAUUUUGGACAAUGGGCGCAAGCCUGAUCCAGCAAUGCCGCGUGCAGGAAGAAGGCCUUCGGGUUGUAAACUGCUUUUGUACGGAACGAAACGGCUCUGGUUAAUACCCGGGGCUAAUGACGGUACCGUAAGAAUAAGCACCGGCUAACUACGUG
This 481-nucleotide ribosomal RNA is filed under the name uncultured bacterium. Its description in RNAcentral is "partial 16S ribosomal RNA". It matches the Rfam family "Bacterial small subunit ribosomal RNA", at positions 30 to 507 of the family's 1533-position model. The record is from RNAcentral.